CGCAACUAACAAUUUAGUAAAAAUAAUUUGUUGAUAUCUUAUACAGUCUUUGGAUAUAAGUGAAAAUAAGCCAAAUUCAAAUAUUAAAAUAUGACCUUGACCUUUGACCUUGACCUAAUUUUCAUUUUUUGGGACCAAGGACCUCAAAUCAAAAGAUCCUAGGUCUCUAUCACUUAUGGUUUAUAAGAUAGAAAUUCAUAUCACUUAUAUCAGAUGCAUAAGGGGAAAUAACUCUCAUAUGGAGCGGUCAUAUCGCUUCGGUCAAAAUAGGACAAAUCAUGCGAAGGAUAUAACGAGCAAUUUUGUAAAAUAAAUUUGUCAUAAUCUUUUACGGUUGCGAAGGAGAUGCGCUAACAAAGAAAACAGUGUUUGGGGAGAUAACUCCUACAAAGAAAAGUAUUUGUUUACGCAGGGUAAAUUUCAAAAGCGCAUAAACUGUUCGAUAUCAUAUACAAAAUAUCUAAGCGACAUAUUGCGAAACAAAUGUUUAUCGCAAGAACAAAAUUAGGCGGAAGAAAAAAAAAAAAAAAAAAAAUAAUCAGAAGAAAAACAAUAGGUCUUUCCACAGAAAAGUGGAAAGACCUAAUAAAUGUCAUGCAGCGUUGUCAUAAUAUAAAAAUCAGGAGAUGUGAUAUACUUGCCAAUGCAACAACAUUAAACCAAUUUACACUAAAAAAUAACAAUAAUAGGCAAUCGUACAAACAACGAGAAAACACGAAUAUAUAUAUUGUCAGGUAUAAACAAAAGGCCCC
RNAcentral lists this long non-coding RNA (752 nucleotides) under Mytilus galloprovincialis (Mediterranean mussel). The record is from RNAcentral. Lineage: Eukaryota; Metazoa; Mollusca; Bivalvia; Mytilida; Mytilidae.